GCACCGCUGAGGAGUCCCACAAUAGGACAAAACAGCCGUCCAGUAC
RNAcentral lists this non-coding RNA (46 nucleotides) under Schistosoma margrebowiei. The record is from RNAcentral. Lineage: Eukaryota; Metazoa; Platyhelminthes; Trematoda; Strigeidida; Schistosomatidae.